UGUCAAGGAUCCAAAUCAAUACUUUUCAAAUAAACUCCCCCUAUUUAAAUAUAAUUUUGCACUGAUAUAUUCCUUAAGGUGUGUUUUCAAGUGAUUAAAAAUUUGACUUGGUUCUUCUUAUAUACUUUCAUUUACUUUGUCUUUCAUUUUUAACUUUCUUAUGCUCUAUACUCUAUUUGCUCCCUAUCCGGUGGAGUUGGGAAGGGGCACGAGGUACUACC
RNAcentral lists this long non-coding RNA (221 nucleotides) under Phoenix dactylifera (date palm). Its description in RNAcentral is "long non-coding RNA (PDAC_LNC012878)". Lineage: Eukaryota; Viridiplantae; Streptophyta; Magnoliopsida; Arecales; Arecaceae. The record is from RNAcentral.